Long non-coding RNA from Clupea harengus (Atlantic herring), 20482 nucleotides. The record is from Ensembl. Lineage: Eukaryota; Metazoa; Chordata; Actinopteri; Clupeiformes; Clupeidae.
CACACACUCAUGAACAUUCCAGCCCAGGAGGACACUACAGAUUGGAUUCAAAGGGAUGCACUUGAGCGAGCAUUCGAUUCCGCGCCCGUGCCGAGUUAAACGCAGGGCCCCCGAUGCGGGGCCGUGUUUAACACCCACUGACGUGCCCAGCUGACAUGCGGAGUUGUGACAGGCCAACAAAAGCACUCGGCCUCCUCCGUGGCCCAGUCUGGAUGAACUCUCGCCAACCUCAGGGUGAGAGAGCCGCAAUUUGUCUUUUUCCCCAUGCAUGCUCGUAAUGGGAGGUUGUCAGUCUGUGGAGGACGUAGAUUUAUAUUGAUGUCUGCAGGGAAGAGAGCCCAGAGGAGAGACAAAGUGCUUCCCUCAGUGCAAAUUUCUUUAACUGACAUUGACAGAUGUACAUUGUUUGGAUGAUUGACAGCUAAGUAUUAAAACAUGUUUGGAACAAGAUGGCUUCUGUAAAUGGUAAAAAUUAAUCAACUAAUGGAGGUUUGAAAAGGAGAGACUGGAGGGUUUUUUUCAAUUGACAUUCUCUGUUAAUCUGCCUCCUAAUGGAAGAUGGUCAUUGGUAUUCUGCACAACAGGCGGCGGCCAUCGUGAACAUGUCUGUACUGCAUUUGAUUUGGGGCAACUUGAGCACAGUGUUGCAAUCAAAAUGUCUCGCUAGACAUCCAGUCGUAUAAAGCGGACGGGGGUUUCAGGGUGGGGGUGGGAGUUGAAAGAUUACAUGCUCCCUGGCUGCCCAGUGAUUUCAGGCAUAUUGAGCAAACAGCCCCUUGACAAACACCACUGCCCUUCUUUUUGCUACAGUCAUUCCAAGAAGUAGGGCUGAAGCUUGCCAAUAAUGUCUCUCCCUGAGCAAGGUCUUGCAGUAAGACCUCAACAAAGACACAUGAAAAAGAUAAUUUACUGCUACUGUGAAUUGCAUACAGUGAAAUGAAUUGGUAGCCUACAUUAUCAGAUUGAUGUUACUACAUAAAAACAUGCUGUGGCAGAUGUCAUGUUACCAUUACUGUCAAUAUACAGUACAUGUGUAUUUAUGUGAAGAAAAUUGAAAACCUAAAUAACUAAUAGAUCCUUUUCAGGAUAUCAAGAUAUUAAGUCAUUAUUUCUAGAUAGUAUCUUGUUAUUUCAAGAUAUUAAAUCAUUAUUUCACGGUGGUGUCUCGUUUUUACAAUAUGUUGUCAUAAUUCCAAGAUAAUAUCUCAUUGUUUAAACAUAUUGUCAUGUCAUUAUUUCAAGAUAGUAUCUCAUUAUUUCAAAAUAAUAAGUUCUUAUUUCAAGAUAAUAUUUACUAAGUCAGAGUUUCAAAGAUGGUGCUAGACUUGUUUGCAAAUUGUAACUUCAAUUACUUAUUAGUUAUUAUUUUUAAUCCAGUUUCACUGACAGUGUUAAACCUAUUAGGAUUUUUACAGUGGGAACCCAUCUUGUAAAUAAUGCUAACUACAUUUAGUGUGUAAUGUCCACUUUAACAUUUUAUUGACUACUUGCAUGACACUAGAAAUCACUAAUUUAGACCAGGUCAUUGCAAUGAUACCUCAAAUAAAAAUAAAAAACAUUAAAUAGGCUUCUUCAUCCAGAGGAUAUCAUGAAAGGCUAUUUAUUGAUCAAGGUCACUUCAAGGGUUUAAUAUUUAUUUUUUAAGGCAUUCAUUUUUUCUCACAAUGUUAAAAUAUGUGCUUUACUUUAAUCUUUUACUUUGAGAGAUAUGGGCCCAUUUAACCUGAUAAGCUACUGCAUCUUACAACGUCUUACCGAGUAGUAAGAUAAUAAUAUCUUGAAAUAACAAGAUACUAUCUUGAAAUAAUGACUUUUGAAAUACUAUUAAACUUAAACUUAAAAUCUUGAAAACAAGAUAAUAUAUCGACUUACUUGAGAUACUAUCUAGAAAUAACAACUUACUAUCUUGAAAUCACCAAAUAAAAUGUACGUCUAUUUCAUUGUCAUUUUAUCCUCAUAGCAUUGUUAUCGAAAAAAAUCUACCUGUCCUGGAUAUAUGUACAGCCGGAAUUGUGGUAAGUAAACUAACAUAACCCUUUUUAUAUGUCAAGCAAACAAAAUCACAUUUCACUUAUGUCCCUCUCUUACGCUACAUGCUCAGUUGGCUUCAGAGGCAUGCAAGUUAUUUCAUCUGGGUCAACCCAAUCAAACCAAACACACCACUGUUUGAUCUUUGGUGCUCAUUAAAAGCAAAGAGCUGGAUCAUCAGAGAACUCCACUUGCCAGCACACAACUGUGGUUUUGCCAAACCGUGUGCUGCAGGCAUCUGAGUACCUCACUCUUCCACUUCCUGCACACGAUGACACAAGUAAUCGUAAGAAAUGAACGGGUCAAACACCGUCUCCUUUGAGGGAGAAACACAUUAGAACUGGAUGUGAUGAGCAUUCCAGCAUGAUUUCUACCUCAACCGGAGAAAGCAACAUCCUUGUUAAAUGAUCUAAUGAUGUCAUCACUGAAGAUGGGCUCUCUUUAGAGGUCCAUUACUGCUGAGGCCCGUGACUAAGACGUCAGACCUGACCUUUAUGUUCUGCACUCAGUUAGUGAGCUAAAUGAUUUCACAUUCCCCGUCUGAAACAGAUUGGGGACGGUGUGAAAAAUGUUUGACCAAGGUGGUGUGACUCAGCUAGUGAGCUAAAUGAUUUCACAUUCCCCGUCUGAAACAGAUUGGGGACGGUGUGAAAAAUGUUUGACCAAGGUGGUGUGACUCAGCUAGUGAGCUAAAUGAUUUCACAUUCCCCGUCUGAAACAGAUUGGGGACGGUGUGUUACUACGUGUGUACACCCCUACCUCCUCUCUCUUCACAGAAGUGAAAAAUGUUUGACCAAGGUGGUGUGGCCAUUAGUGUGUCCAUCAACAUCAAUCCAUCGACUUAGUCGAGGCAAGCAGACCCCUGUAGGUCUUCAUUUAAGAAUUAGAGCUUUUGAGCUAGCUGAUCUAGACUAGUCUAACCAUCCAUGUUUGUCUGAUGGGCUUGCUAUUGAGCUACUUGUUGAUACUAACUACAGGAUAGUAAUGAACUUGGAUCCAUUCGUAAAUUCAAGCCAGCACUUUAAAAAUGGAUGGGGGCUCUGCAGUUCAAGGAUUCCAUUUCUCCAUUAAUUAACAAACACUUCACGUCAUUAUUCUAGCCUCUGAGAUGGGAUUUUGGCUAUUAAAAACAUCAUUCCUGACGGUGUGGGCAGGGGCGGAGAUCCCAUUUCUUUGUAGGGGGGGACAAUACAUGGUAACAUUUCAGAGAGUAAAUCUUGGGGGGGACAUGAAAAAAUUGCUGUCUGGCCCUAUCUCCCUCUGUCUCUCUAUGCUGUCUUCGUACUGCGUUUGCUACCUUGCAGGACUGACAGCUAGCUAACACUUGUCUUUGCAGAAUAAAGAUGAAUUUCAAGUGAAUCCACAAGUCUUGUUUUUUUUGAGUUUACUGAAGUUAUCAGCAUGCAAUUAUUCAUACAGGACGUUUGAUUUAGUAAAACUGUCUGGAACAGACAGAAAUAAAGAGAUACAUACAUUUCACGUCAAAUGAUGUGGCAUAAAGGUAGCACGAUACCACAAGAGCUAGCAUAACUUGGCUGCUAAAUACUGAAUUCUCUUAUAACAUUUACAAACACAAAUUCUCUAAACGGCAUUAAUGUCCCAACACAAAAUAUCUACUCACAGACAAAUAAUGUCCAAAGUUCACACGGUCAGCGUGGGUUUUGCUGGAACUUUACAGGAGCAACUUUCAACAUGUAUCCUUACUUCACCGGUGCAGAGGUGGAGGUACUGUUGCAGAAUGUAGAUGUGUCCAUUCUAUUCCACCAUGGCUAUAUCCACGCGAUUGAGUUUAGUGCUUACCGUAAAUCCUCAAAUAAAGACCGGGAUUCAAUUAGAGGCCGGGCUUCAGAUAGAAGCCGGGGGCGUGGUCGAUACGGACAAAUAAAGACAGGGCCCCGAAUACAAGCCGGGGGUAAAAAAAGGUACCGGUAGCCUAUUUUACUGUAGCCUACCAGCAUCAGUCCAUCAGCACAAAGCAGAUAUCACAAUUUAAUUGAAUGCAUUUCAUAAAUACAUGUUCUCCUCAUGUUUAAUGUUGUUGGAUAAUUUCAUGGCUGUUUGCAAUAAAAAAAGAAAUGUUUCAGCCUACAAGGCGAAUUUGUUUUUAUACAGUUACUUGCCUAAACGAUAGAAGACAUUCCUCCAUGAUUUUGUUGCCGUUUCGUGAUUUCCGCUAAGAAAAAAAAUGUCUUCAGGCUAAUAGAACUUUAACGUUCCAGGUGUUGCGUAGCAACCCAUUACUUGCUGACUUCAAGUUACAAUGACUUUCCGCUACGUUAAAUGACCGGACUUCUUGUGGAAUGAUAUGAAAGAUGUGAAUUAGAAGCACAAAACCUGUUGCCAAUGAUAGCGGUCAUUAACUUUUCGCAGUGGUGAAUAUCAAGAAAUUACAGACCUGCUAAUGUUGGGGAACAUUCUGAAGAGCCGUAUAAUAAGUAAGAAAUAAAGGCCUGCCCCUAAUACAAGCCUGCCCUAAAUACAGGCCAGUGCGCUGUGCAGCCUAAGUAAAUAAAAGCCCCGGCCACAAUUUGAGGAUUUACGGUAUUUAUUUUUUCAAUGCCAUUUGCAGUGUUCGUGUAGUGCUUUUAUUUUUGUUAAGACAUCACGAUGCCUCCUAGAAACAUGACUAUAAAUGUGAAACGUAAUUGUUUAUGAUACAAAUAUUCUCUUAUUUAUUAUUAUUAUAAUCAUUUAAAUCUGAGGAUGUCUGUAGAACUUGAUGUGAACGCAAUCACCAAUGAUUUCUCACAAAUUCAGCCGUUAACAACAUGGGCGCACUCCAAACUGGCCGAUUUACGACUGUUAUUUAGCGUUCUUAAAUUCUGUUCAAAGCAAACAAAUCACAGAUGAGAAAACUUUCAUGAAUGCCAGAAUUGUCCCGGGAACGUUCGGUAUGUUCCCUUCCUUUGGUCUUUUUUCUGCUGGGGGCAUAUUGUAGACUAUAUUCAGUAGGGCCUAAGCCUAGCUCAGAAGUUGGUGCAGAAAGUGGAAGAGACUAGGGGAAACCAAGUUCCAUCAGACAGAAAAAAAGAACAUAACAAUGAAUACGAAUUAGAAACUAUUACAUUUAAAAAAAAGUUUGUUGAGUAACAUAAUGUACAUGUUCUGUGUCAAAAUCAGCCUUAGGCCUUUAUUUGUUAUGUAUAUCUUCCUCGUCCUCAUCCUUAAAUUCUUUCUUCAAGGAUACCCAAAAGUGCUCUUCCUCGGGCAGCAUGCCACACACUAUGGGACACCUGCAAGUGGCAAAGAGCAGGUUUAUGUUGGAUGUCUUGAGUAGGCCUAACAUGUUGACACAUCAUUCAAUAAACAAAUCUGAAUACAGUGUGUGAAGAUGGCUCGAGUCGACCACCCCACAAUGUGGGAUGUAGGCUGGUUGGAAUGGGGUUGCAGGUGGCUUUCUUAAAAAAUAGCUAUUUAUUUACAACAGGAUAAUUCGAAACCCCAAAACAUAUACAAACUGAACAACACUAAAGGCCAAAAACAAACAAGGUGCAACUCUGUGGUCACAGAUCACACAGGUUUAAUCUAUGUACUUGUCCCAGCUUUCUUCCAGCAUGUUCAGUCUGUCUUCCCCUCAUGCAACAAUGAGGUGCACCUUAAAUAAGGCCGCCCGAGGGCUAAAUUGGUCCAAUUGGAGUCAAUUGGACUCCACAGAGGACACUACAGAGGAGGGGGAACCCGGACCCAACCAUUCAGGUAGGGGAGUCCAGUCCUUCUCCCCCUUAGGGCCACAGUGAGAAGGGGGAGGGAUUUCACCUUCUCACACAUCGGGCCUCAUUUAUAAAAUGUUGCGUAGAAACCAUCCUACAUUUGAUCUCAGACGUUUUCUGAAAUGGUCGUAAGUGUUAUUCACAGAAAACGAACGUACGCCCAAAAAACACGUGUACGCCAUUCCUGCAUUUAUAAAUCACAAAUGAUCGUGGAAUUGUGCGCAGCUGAAUCUCCGCUCUCAAAACGCCCCUACUUAAUCUAAUUAGGAUAUUAUCAAUGCACAAACGGAGCGCAUCCUCAAUGCACAAACUCUCUGUGACAAUGGCAAGCAAGAAAGAAACAUGUAAAAAGAAGAAUUAUAGUGAGGUUUAAAUCGACGUUCUGCUGAUGGAAGAGCAGAUGCGGGCCAAAACAUUGUUCGAAAGCCUGUCAGGUGGCGUAGGCUAAUGGCAAAAGCAAAGUAUGUGGCAUGGUAGAAGACACGUCUCCGAAGCACCAGCGGCCGCACCUGCGGAACGAGCAGCACCAGAAGCCGCAUCUGCGGCAGCAGCACCUGCUGCACCAGCAUCGGGGCCUCGUUGGCCAUCACCAGCUUCCUCUUCUCAUUCACAAAGGGACUUGAAUGAGUCUGUUAGCGAGGUUGUUGCUGAACUCUGUCCGCUAUUGAGGGUUCUUUGAACAAACGUGCCUAAAUAAAACAUUCUUAAGAAAAUGAACAUGUGUGCAUUUAUUCUUAUACUGUUGGUAUAGUUAGUGAAUCAGCUCCCGUCUUCUCAGCGCAGUGAUGUGCGUGUUCCAGUCAGCUGGGAUGGGAGGGUGGUCAUCUUGGUCCAUGCGCAUUUCGUCUUCUCCUCUAUGCCAUGGCUUAGACAGAUGUUGUGUAGCACACAACAGGCUAGGAUGAUCUGGCAAACCUUUUCGGGGGCAUAUAGCAGUCUCCCUCCCGAUGCAUCCAAACAUCGCCACCUUCCCUUCAGCAUGCCUAUGCUGCGCUCCACUACAGACCGCACACGGGCAUGUGCUGUAUUGAAGUGGGCUUCCUAGGCUGUCUGAGUGUGCGCAAUCGGGGUGAGAAGCCAUUGGGAACCCUGUUUUACGCAGAAAAUCCUCUUUCACAUUUCGCUGUUCCUGGGCACUGUAUGGACAUGUAAUACAUUUCGGACACAGAGGGGUAAUAUCCUCUAACAACGCCAAAGCAGCCAUAUCUCCUACUGAAAACUGUCACUAUCAGGCUUUUUAUAGGCUAUAAAUUGAGCGAAAUGUUUUACACGUGUGGAAUUAAAAUGAAUACCUAUUAGACGUGAAUUUCAUUCAUGUAUGAAUUAUUCAAAUUGUUUAAUUGAUUUUAUUGAGCGAAACAUUCAUUUGGCCUUUUACCAUUAGCCCUAUGGUGACGGUGGUGGUGACGAUGAUGAUGAUGAAACUGCGUGUCGGCGCUCGGAGAGUUCCGAAUUCCUGCAGUACUCCAGUAUUGCCACAAGGAAAUGUACUUACACGAACUAGAACCAGACGUAGAGAUACGUCCUUUUCUACGUCUAAGACGGUUUUUAUAAAUCUGUACUUAGACGUGGAUUUGAUCGCACGAACACUCUCAGAUCAAAUCUGUGCGUAAGUACGUUUUAUAAAUGAGGCCCAGUGUAACGUUAAAAAUUGUUUUAAUCAUGAGCAUUAUUUGUGGUGUGUGUAUGUGUGCACAUAUGCAUACUCAGAGAAUGUUUAUUCUGACGUUAGUUAUACAGAUAGUUAAAGUUUAUCUGCUUUUAAGUCAGUUAGCAUGUAGAUUCUAUGCAGUUGAAAAGACAACUUUAACAUCACCAGAUAUCACCAGAUUAGGUGAUGUUUUGGCACUGUUUACAUGGACAGCGUCCGUUAAGUGCUACUUAAGAGCAGGGCAUGCACUUUCGUGUUACGUGCUUGUUUGGGAAAUGCGUGUAAAAACGUAACAAAUGUUUGUAGAAUCGCCUGUAAAGAACACUUGUAACCACUAAGAAUUAUCAUUAUUGGGAAACCUGGCCCUAGCAGGUUAGAAUGCUAACUUUAGCAGCUAUCUGGGCAAAACAAUUCAUAGGCAUUUUUGACAUGACAAAACGGUUAUUCUUUCACAUUAUGUUGCCAUUUGUAGUAAUUUUUGUAAUGUUUUAAACUAAACUUAACUUAAAAUUAUUACGUAUAGCACCUUUGAAAUGCAGACCUUGAUAAGCAACAGAAACGUUGUAUUGUUAUAAUCGUAGUAACAUCUUCUAUUUGAAUUUCAAUUGGCACCAUACUUGGCACAGGUAUCACCACAAGAUCACAGGGAAACUCAGGCUUCUAAUUCCCUAAAAAAAAAGAGUGCAAUCAGAAACUUUGCAUGACUACCUGUGUUUUUGUUUUGGUCCUCAAACAAGAAUAGAUAAAUAACACACACAGAAAAAUAGCUGGUAUUACACACAACAGAGACACAAGAAAACAACAUGUAUGUUAUUCUCAGCAAAACAUCCUUCCCAUUAAAUGCAUGGAGGUCUUAUUACCAGGUGUCCUCUCAUAGACUGACAGGGCAAUUGUAACCCCUGACUGUAGUCACCUUCCCUGCCACUCAUUAGCGGAGUGAGAAUAUCCAAUCUCUGCAAGUCAAAUCAAGUCAACAGGAAUUGGACCAAAGUGAUUUAUAGCCAAAGCAAAUAGAUUGAUAACAAAUGUAGCCAAGAAUUUAAAGAAAUAACAGGAAAUAACUGUACAAAUAAAAAAACAAAAUAAGAAAAAAAACUAUUGUAACAAAAGAACGGAAUUUGAAAAGUGAUGAGUAAAAGAGGUAAAAAACAAUAAAACAGAAGAAAAAACACGUUAGAAUUAGAUAAAAUGGAGAAUAGACUAGAUAGAUUAGAAUAGAUAAGUUAACUUAAAAUCCGGGAAUGUGUGUAAAAGCAGGUUUUUAGUCCAGCUUUAACAAUCUUGAUACAGACAGCAGAUCUAAUAUCUAAUGGGAGACUAUUCCAUAAUGUAGGACCAACACCAGUGAUCAUCAUGAUCACCCAUAGAUUUAAAAUUAGACCCAGUUAAAAGCAGUGAAGUCCCUACAGUCCUUGCAGUCCCUGUGGAUGCCAUAAUGGCCAAAUGUCACAUCUGCAAACAACGGUAAAAAGGUCAGUGUGGGGGUUAAACGUAUGCAUUAGAUGGACAGCUUAAUGGGCAGUAAAUGGCGAAGGUAUGGCUGGGAUCACCGGGGUGAAUUAUGGACCAUUCUCAAGGGUCGCAGAGGUGAGCUUCUGGUUGUCUGGGGCAUUCUCAUUUCCAACAGAAUGGCUACAGGGAACCGCCAUUACUUCACUCUCACUCUGACAUUUAGCAAUCACUGAUCUAUCUAUCUAUCUAUCUAUCUAUCUAUCUAUCUAUCUAUAUAUAUAUCUGUCUGUCUGUCUGUCUGUCUGUCUAUUUAUGUAUCUAUCUGUCUGCCUGUCUAUCUAUCUAUGUAUCUGUCUAUCUAUCUGUCUGUCUGUCUUUCUGUCUUUCUGUCUUUCUGUCUGUCUGUCUGUCUGUCUGUCUGUCUGUCUGUCUGUCUAUCUAUCUAUCUAUCUAUCUGUUUAUUUAUUUGUUUGUUUGUUUGUUUGUUUGACCUUGAUAGAUCAAUGAAGAGUCAAUCGGCAAUUUACAGACCUACCUGGCAUUUCAAGUAUGACUGCUGUGGCAGACGUGGCAGAGUGGAACUGUCUCAUCAUUAUGGGGCCCCUUACAGAUGCAGCUUCAGCCAGAGAUGUGCAUCUUUCAUCUACACUAAAAUAUGUUCCCCGCAGGCAAGGAAGGAUAAUACCAUUAGCUGUGAUGCAGUGUCUCUGAUACACACAUUAGUCAGAGUGUUAAAUAUUCACAAGUUCAUAGCAUCUCUGAGUCUUGCUUGAGUGGUGCAAUAUAAAUGUGAUAGAGACACAUACACAUUCACACAGUUGUUGUGCUGGUACAGGAAUUCUGACAUUGCCCUGUUGUCUUGUUUGUUACCAGGACAUUUUAAUUCGAUUUUAUCUCUUAUCUAACAGUAGAGAACUUGAAAUGUGAGGAAAGGACGUUGAAACAGUUAAGUGAUGUGAAAGACCUUGGAGCUAAUCCCAGCUGCAAGGCAGAUAGAAAAAUUCAGCAAAGAAACCUCUGGGUAACGUGACAGUGUCACAAAGAAACCUCUGGGUAACGUGACAUUGUCACAAAGAAACCUCUGGGGAACGUGACAGUGUCACAAAGAAACCUCUGGGUAACGUGACAGUGUCACAAAGAAAUGUCUGGGUAACGUGACAGUGUCACAAGGAAACCUCUGGGUAACGUGACAGUGUCACAAAGAAACCUCUGGGUAACGUGACAGUAUCACAAAGAAACCUCUGUGUAACAUUAAAUUAUUGCAAAGAAACCUCUGUGUAACGUUGCAUUAUUGCAAAGAAACCUCUGUGUAAUAUUGCAAAGAAACCUCUGUUUAACGUUACAUUAUUGCAAAGAAACCUCUGUGUAAUAUUGCAAAGAAACCUCUGUUUAACGUUACAUUAUUGCAAUGUCUCCAGGAGGCAAAACACAGCCAACAUGACAGAGAACAAAUAAAACAACUAAAAAUAGAUAUAUUUCAAUUUAAAAAAUAGCAAAUUAAAACACCUUAAUAAUAAGAGUUGAUUUAUAUAAACCUGUGGCAUAGCACUACAAAUAAGUGUGUAUACUGGGACACUUUGGAAGCUGUUAUCCCUUACAAGAAAGAACAAAAUUGUCAGCAAUUAUUUAAAGUAUGCAAAUAAGUAGGGCCUCCGUGCACCUCGAAGACCUCAAUAUUAACAUUUCAACUUCAGUUUGUCUGUGACACCCCAAAGGAUCGUCCGUGAUGAUUUUACUCUGCACAAAAAACCCUGCCCUCCGAUACACAUAAUCAUGACAGAUGCUCCGCUAUUUAAAUCCCUAAUCGAAUUAACUUCCAGAUUUUUACAUUAUUCAAGGCAACGUGGGCAUGCGUCCCACCCUCUGGAAACAUAAUGGUGAUAGGCUCAUGAUUUAUGGAGAGAAGAUGUCAAGUGGUAUCAAGAGUAAUGCCUUCAUAAGAUGGCCGUUUUGAUCCACUGCCAUACCACCUCCCACGCAACGAGCUGCAAACAACUGGAGGGAGGAAUCUAGGUGCCUGAGUGUACCCAUACACAGGAGAGUACAUACUGUUUGAGCACACAUGCACACACCACUAUGAAUAGUGCAGAAAUAGUCAUCUUGAAGUAUUUUCAAAGGGAGUAUAUCAAGCAGAUUUGGACAUGGUCUGAGGGAUAAUUAGGAAGUUGGCUACUGCAUAGUACAUACCAACAGACUGAAGAGAAAAUAAGGGUGUUUGUUUUCAAAUGAAAGACUCUGAGAUAUGCGUUAGUUGUGCAUGGUUUAAUGCUAGUGUAGUGAAAUGCUCAGCUUUUAGCACACGUUUAUUCUGAAAUUACUUUUUGCUAUGUGUUCAAGCGGUCAACUGGUCUUCUAAGAUAAGGGAAUGUGUGUCCACUGAAGCAUGACAGGGCCUAAUAGCAUAAUAGAAUGAAUAUCUGCCCUUAAAGACCAGACUGGGAUCACUGUAUGACAGAGGACUGUAAGAGGUGUCAUGUCUGGGAAGCCUUAAUUGCUUUAGGUAAUCCUAUGAAACACUUGAGUUGCAAUUUCAAAGAGUUAGAAAGCUUAUGUCUUCUCUCUGAUGGAUUAGUUAUUAUAUCACUAUAAUGUCCUGUAAACAUCCCUUUGAAUUAAUUGAAAUGAAUCAAGAGGACACAGUCCUGAAGUGAAGGCUAUCAAGUCAACUAUCUAUUAGAGUUUAGGCACUGCAAGACUAUUUGGAAGAGAUGAAAGUGGGUGUUACAAGAUGUCAUUUUACAUCUGAGCUUCAGCAUGAGACACUGGCAUUAGGAAGAGAGUGCUGAUUGCCUCCUCCUACAAUUCAAGAGAAGCAGACAAUCAGCAUUGCAGACAAAAUACUAUCAAGGGAUCCAUCCAACACUAAAUCACUAAAGAAAAAGACCUGCACACUCAACGGUAGGAACGUGGAUUUGAUGAAACUCAGUUAGAUUAAACUAUGUUUAAAUGAUUGAUUUUUUUCUCUCACCACCCUGUUUGUCUCCUCUCUGCUGCUCCGUCCCGUAGUUAAGAUUCACCAAAUGUGCGAAGCGAGUUAGGGUGUCUGAAGUCAUUAUGCCCUCUGCUCCACUCUUUACACUGGCAGAUUAGAAUUGAGGCCCAUUAAAGUAAUCUAUAAAUGGCAGCACGGAAAAUCUUCCCAUGACUGUUGAAAGAGAUUUAUAACUCCCAUGUUGUCUGACUGAGGACUGGUCUCCGAAGACAGUGAAGACACAAGGGACAUGCAUCUACAUGGUGUUGCAUAUUAAAGGCUGGCUGAAUCAGAGCAGGAUGGGAUGAGUUUUUUUUUUUUUACUUUAUUCGUCCGUCCUUGGGUCAUAAAAGGACUUAUCAGCUUGACAGGGAAGGGCAUAGAGAGCCACGCACGAAAGCCAUGCAUUGCAAAUUUGUCACUGACGAAAAUAGUAAUGCUGCUUACGUAAUUAGUUACCAGGAGAGUCAUAUUCCAUAGUGCUGACAGACAUUAAACACCAGGCCUGUCCCAUGUUUUAAGCCCUUUUCAAGAUAAAAAAAAAAAUAGACUGCCAAAGCAAUGCAGCAUAUAAUGAAAUGGGAAAAAUGUGAAAGUAAAUACAGUAAAAUAUAUCCAGUUAUCCAGAUAAACCAUAUUCAGCAUUGGGUGGUCCUUAUGACUUCUGACAGGAUGCUAAAAGCUUAAAGGUUUGUUAUCGAGUCACAAAUAAAGUCAGCCAAACCAACCAGACUGACAGCCAAAAGAAACAUUCCGUUCUGCCGUACUUUGCUUUGCUUGACCUGGCAGAAGGGAGCAGCAAAGUAAAUCUCUGAGGUGUAGAGAGACCUUGUUCUCUCUCGGACUGCUCUGGGAUCAGACCGCCUCUUCAUGUCUUUUCAGGGUUACUGAGGGUAAACAAUUUGAGCUUGAGCCAGGAUCUAAAUAACCAAACACACAACAGCAACAACAAAUAGCACAGGCUGUGGCAGAACUAGCUUUUGUUUCUAAUACUGUCACACUGAAACUACCGCUCUGUAUUGCACACACAUUGACAGGAUAUGUUUGACAGGAUUAUUGACUGCUGCUAAAAGUCAAAACAAGCCAAAGAACACAAUUGAAUAACACAAACAACAUUGUCAUAAAUAUGUCAUUAUAUCAUAAAAAUGAAUCCACACUGUAACAUCCAGCUACCCUUAGCGAUUAUAUGGAGGCUGAACCAACCCCUUACAGUCCUAUUAAACAUCCCAAUAAAUCAUUACAACUGGCUGUCACUGUACAGGGGAGCCUCUAAUUAAAUAUAGGUCGCAGAGGCUUAAGCACAGCUUCAGCCGCUCCAACAACGGAGACAGAGAUCCAGCCAACAGAUAAGGGAUAAUUGAAGUCGCAGAGGGCUGUCUGUUAGUUGUGAGUGUCAAUGCUGCAGAGGUAAUGAGCUCUACGCAGUUGGAAAUUAUAAAGUUUUGAAGCAGGCUACAACAUUUCUUUUUAAGCAUGAUGAGGGCAUUUAUUUGUUGUGAUCCUCUUGAAGGGACCAGCAUAGGUCAUAAGAAUAUGCCAUAGUCAAUAAGUCAAUGAUAUUAUACCUAGUUCUAAUUGUUACUUUUAUUUGGACUUAACUAGCAUGUAAACAGUUCCAGGGUGAAUAUACUUGAUUUUGACCAGGGGAGUGAGGUGCGACAUUGGUCUCACCUCCCCCCCAGGUCGAGACAAAGAACCCUGCAUGCAUGGCCCAUUUGAAUAGACGGUAACACCCCUUAAUGUCAGUGUAUUUAACAGACUGUUCCCCAAGGAAUAAGUCAGAUAUACUGAGGUGAAGUUCUGUGAGGGAGGAUGGAUCUGAAAGUUUCUGUCUCACAAAUGGUCGGCCGCCAUUCUUCAAGAAUAAACCUGAAUCCUGACUGAUCAAACCUAAGACUGAAUCUUCAAUAUAUGGUAUAAAACUAAUUACCAUCACUCUCUACACUGUGCAUGUGUGUAUUUUGGACCAGUUGUCGCACUCCAUACCUUGAUUGAUGUUUCUGUGCCUACUGUACUGUUUUUGUACACUGUGUACUGUCUUGUGCUGUACAUGUUGGCACACGUGUAGUUUAUGUAGUCCAGUCUGGUCUGUGUUUGCGCACGUGUGCUUUAUGUAGACCUGUCUGAUCUGUGUUGUUCUAUGUGGCACUGUGGUCCUGGAGGAACGGUGUUUCAUUUCACUGUAUAGUGCAUUAGCUGCAUAUAUGGUUGAAAUGACAAUAAAGCCAGUCUAUGGUCCAUGCACAGUCUACAGGCCACAUUUUCCAAAAUGCAUUUUUUUUUUUCAAUUCUAUGUUUUCACAUCUGAAAGGGUAAACUACAGUGUCACACACAGAAUCGUUGUGUUUUAGUCACCGGAUGCCAAACUGUAAGUGAUAUUUUUUUCAGUUAAUGAAGACCUGCUGAGUGUGGAACAUCCUGCCUUUGUUUUCUGGAGUCAAAGACGCUAGAUGCAUGUGAGGUAGGUAGGUGGGCUUCCCUUCUCGGUCUCACACCCACACUUGACUAGACUUGACCCUUUAAACAGACCCAGGGGUCAGACCUUCUGACUGUUCACCUCACAUGGCAAAUGGCGGCUUAAUGCUGGCCUUGCCAAGCAUGUCAUCCCACACAGUCAAACACACAAAGAAGGGCAUGCCUUCCUAUCUGGCACACAUGAGUGUGGAAGCAAUCUAUGUGGAAUCUAUCCAGCAUCUGUCUCUCUGACUCCGGACACUUGCAUCUAUUUUUAGAGUGUUGCGGCAUAGUUUUUUUGCAACAUACUGAUUAAAUAUAACAGUCCAUCUGGGAUUCUGUGUGACAUUUUCAAGGGCGUCCAGAGAAAGUAUGUGUGGGCCAUUGUUGGAUUUAAAUUAUCAGGAGAUUUAUGAGGGACGAGCUGCUGAAUGAAGAGCAAGAAACUUUCUUUUCCUCUCUUGCAAGUCCAAAUUAGGCUCAUGUUAAAUGUGACUACAUAAACAUAACUGUGUAUGUAGCCUUGUGAUUGUUAUGGAGAUAUGCUGCCAUUUAAAAAGGAAUGGUAAGUCACCACUAAACACACUAGGUGAGUGUAUAGAAAUGAUAACAGUCACACUCAUUUUAAAUCACACUUUAUAGAUGAUGCAAUAUGUGGCAUCUAAGUGCUAAUGUGCCAAAAUGGAUACGCUUUAAAAGCGCCAUCCAAAAUGCUAAAAAAAAAGCCCAAUUCAUUCUGUGUUAUCAGAAAACUAUGACACAUACCAAAAAUAUUAUCCAGAAGUAUUUAGUGUAAAUGCGAUAGACCAGUAUAGGUCCUUCCCCCUGCAGUGACUGGCCUUGUACACAAUGCUUUCCUAUCUUAUUAAGAGCAUUCAGACAUCACUCGAUAUCUGUGUUAAUAUGCUGGGGCUGUAGCCAUAUUGUGUCCAUGACAGUAUUUCUUAUUCUGGAGAAUACCAAAGAGUACAUUUUCUAAACUACUGAACUUUCGAGAGAAAGUGAGCAAGAGAUGAUCUAGAAGAGUGGGGGAGAGAGCGAGCAAGUGAGGAAGAAGAGAGAGAGGAUGGAAAUGGCCUUCAUUAGAGUUGAAUCAUAAUAUUAUACUCUCUCUUCUUCCUAGGUUAUCUAGAGUCCAAUAGACAUUUCAAAUGAGUGAAAUGAUGAUGAAUAAAAGAGAGAGAAAGGCUCUCCAAACCAAGGCACUCCUAUUAGAUUGAAAUGUCUUUAUAAUUUUGACAUCCUAACUAGACCGCUAAAUUGCCCACGCAUAGCGCAAAAAAUGCCCAUGUGCUUUUAGAAAGAUCAUCUCAGUGCUCAGGUUGAGAUAAUGGACAAAAGGUGGAUUUGAAUGUGGAAUAGCUCCUAUUAAUGGGAUAGUUCAUUAUUUCUUAACGGGUUCAUUACCUGCCGUGUUUUCUGGGACAUGUCACUGCAAAGCUAGGAUUAAAAAGAUAAUUAAAAAUAUUUCAUUAAAUUCAAUUAAAGUACAAAAGCAUACAGGAGCUCCACUAUGUCUUCACAAGGCUAACUCAAUUUCAUCUCGAGAACAAAGGCAUCAUGUCUCUGUAACCUAUGGCAACAGGAUGCUGGAAUUGUUUACAGGUUCUUCUGCUUUCUCGACCACUAUGCUCUAUGCACACCAGUGCACCUCACUUAUAUUAAUAUUAUUAUUCAGGAACUCAGGAAAAGUAAGUGAACUGUACUGAUAAUUUGUUGUAGGCAUAUUCUCAAUUGUAAUCUGUGUAAUCUAAUAAAAUGUUGUUUGCGACACGAUACAGGCAUAUAUUGUGCAUAAUACACAUUGGGCUGUGUAAUUUACAUUUACAAACAAGCAGAGAGUUUUCAAGGUUGCCAACUUCACAGGCUUAUUUGGUGUGAGACGUAUUUAUUUGGAUGCUAGCCUGACAGGACUGAUGACUUUGGGCAUCUAGAAAAUUACAAAUCUCUGUGAGACAGGAAUGACACCGAUAAGGUUACAGCCUACAUUGCAUUCUCAGGGACGUUUAUGAUGAAAAAUAUCAUGCAGGCACAACUCAAGACAUAGCAAGACAGCUAAUUAGUUGUCACUGACUAGUCUAACAGAAAGGCCAGGCCAGCAUCUGACUUGGAUCCUUUUGUCUCUUUUAGCUCUCGCCAACAAGUAAAAGCCUGUCUAAGACUAACUCUCCUUCUCUUGCUCAGUUACUCUCUCUUUUCUCUUCACUGAUCUCACUGACAAUGUCUUCCUCGGUUUCUUCAUCGCCUCUGCCAUGAUGUCCAUACAGAGAAUACUGUGCUAGCUUCUUCUUAUAGCUAGCAGAAGGGGCCAGUUGUUGUGUGAGAUUGUGCCAUAAAGCAUUAUGUAGUUCUUGCAAGAAGUGUUGCACCCUGUCCACCAAAGUUACAUAGUGCAAUACCAGGCACACCAGGCAUGGGGUAGCACAGACGCCAUUCUCUAUAUUACAAGUCAAACCAAAAUGAGCUUGAAACUGUUAUUUUAGGGUAAAAUUGUUACAUAAUGUUGCUUUAAUUCAGAAUUAUGUCAUGUUUUCUUGUACAACCAGCCUUGAGAUCCUCUUACUGCUCCACAGGGUGUCUCGAACAUCACUUCCACCUUGCAUUUUUCUCCCCAUAAUGCCCUAAUCACACUAACAUCCUUUUCCUUCUCUUUCCGCAAGUACCUGAGUUAACGAACAGAAAUAUGAUUUUGUGGUUUGCAUAAAUCAAUUUCACGCUGAGCACUGUCUCGACAAAUAAAGGGGUUGUGCAGCAUUCCUGGUGGUGGAGCCCUACAGUAUUAAUGAGAACUUUUAUUCCUACAGUCUUUCAUUAAAUCUUGGAGACAGAUAUGUCGGUGUAUGGUGUUUGGUAGGCUAAUGCACUGUGCAAUUAAUACCUUAUCAGGCUUUCACCCAGCCAUGUAAUUUCCUUGGCAAUGACAAUAUUUUGGGGCUUAGGCAAAGUAUGAGGAUAAGAUCUAACACACAAUACAUGGACAACGCAUUUAAUUAAAUCCCCUCGUUGCCAUGGUUUUUAUCCUCCUGCUGAUAGAUGUCAUAUGUCUAUAUAUGUCUGACAUGUAUCGUAACGGUGUUAAUUAUCGGACGGCGUGUGUUAUCGGCAAACGAGUUGUCAUGUUAACCCAUUAUUAAACUGAGCAUAUCGAUUGUUAAUCCAUUAUUACAUUUAGCAUUUUGAUUGUUUAACAGAAUGGCCGAUGUUUGACACUGUCCGAUGACUGACAUAGCUACGCUAAGAUACUAUUAAAACAUUCAAUUUAGGGAGGGCAAAAUAUAGAUAUUACAACCCACCAUGUCAUGAGUAACAUUCAUGGAUAUAAACUUGAAAUGCUAGAUAAACCAUUAUGCAGCGUUUUCUCAUAUGACAAAUGAUUCACAGUGUAGGCCUACCACCUCCAAGUGAGAAAUGGAUGGAUAAACUUAGAUGCCUCAUUAUUGACUUCUUGUGCAAAAACAAUUACAGCUGGACUUAGUUUUCUUAGAAAUAUAUUCCUACUGACACAAGAUUUGCCAUGAGAUGAAUUGUUAGACUAUUUGAUCUUAAAACACACACACACAGAAACACACACACACACACACACACACACAGAAAAACACACACAGAAACAUCUACACAGACACACACACACACACACACACACAGAAACUUAUACACAGACACAUAGAAAAAUCGAGGAUAGAAAAAUCAAGGCAGAAGGCCGACCAUAACAGCUUUACAAAGUGAAAUGUUUUUGAUUAUUACUACAAGCACACACACACACACACACACACACACACACACACACACACACACACACACACACACACACACACACACACACACACACACACACACACACACACACACACACACACACACACACACACACACAAAUUAAGAAGAAAAAUGUAGACAUGAAGACACUAAAAUGUGGAAAGUAGAAUGCUAACUUAAUGUGUUCACACACACACAUGUAUGCAUUCACUUCAGAUCACUCAAGUAUCAAUCAAGCACGCUGAAGGACACAGUACAGACUAGCCAUGCCCUGUGGAAAUACUGUUCAUAUACUGCUACACAGUUUAUGCAGAUUCAUUGGCUUUCGUAGUCCACCAGUAAACCAACCAACUGAAAGCUGUGAAUAUUUAAAUUAAUCAGUUACAAACAGUAAAAACAAAAGAGCAAAAUCCCAGGAUUGGCACCAAAACCUGAGUCUGAGUGGCAUUUUUUUUUUAUCUAUAAAUAUUGUGUAAAUGUAUUCCAGUUUGUUUUGUUUAAGUGUUUUUUUUUGCCUUCUUGAAGAGGAGAAAGCAGCAUGGAUGUGUUUGUAAUUAGUUCAGCUCUGUGUGAGAGUCUUACAGUGGAGAGGAGAUAAGAGGUCUCACUCACUCUCUCUCACUCCGUCUCUUUCUGUGUGUGUGUGUGUGUGUGUGUGUGUACGUCCACCGAAGCUCAUAGAUUAUACUGAGCUCACAAGUAAACAACUUUAAUGGGUCAACUGCACUGAAGCAUUAUUUGUUUGAAAGCCACUGAAGAUCUCAAUUUUCUCAAUUUGAAAAAUGAGAUGAGAGCCAAAAUUGAAAAAGAACAUCCUCCUCAUUUUUAAUGGGAGUUUGAUCAUUUGGGCUUCACUCAACACUUUCCAAAAGUUUGAGAAAGGAAGAGAGUAAGAGAUGGUAGUUGUUUAGUAGCACCUAUGUAUAGUGCAUACAGUGCCCCUGUUACAUUGUUAUUACUUUAUUAAAUACAGCAACAUACUAAUUAUAAGUGUGCAACAGUAUGAGGUAUAGUACAUCAGUUGUCUGUUAUUCAUUGUUACUCUAGGCCGCACACUGUACUUCAGUAUAUGUUACAAGAGAAAAGUAAUACCUGGUGUAAUGUGCGCUGAAGAUGUCAGGUACAGGUUAUAGCUGCCUGUCAUACCUCCACCAGAGCCGCCUGGCCAGGAGCAAGGUCAUCGUCUGAGAUCUUACCCUCAUCCAUGCUUCCUCCCUUUAAUCCUGGAGCAGGGGCUGCAGUGGUCAGAUACGUCCCCCUCCCCACCAUCAGCCCCUGCAGUUGGCCACUGGCAGGAUCCCUGCCUUUCUGUGGGUGUAAAUCCCCUCGGUUCAUGGAACAGAAAGGUUGUGUUGUCAGCAUUCCAACUACAGAUAGGGGUGACCGCAUGCAAACCCAUGAUAGAGUAACAGGAGGAAGUUGCUGGAAGUUGAACCACUGCCUGAGGAUAUCAUCCCCAGUCAGUGUAAAAAGUAACAAGCUGGAAUAUAACUCAGACCUCUUCUACGCACUCAGACAUGGAAAAUCAUCAGUGAUUUGUAAGUGAACUACUUACACUAACACGUGUGGAUGCUGACCUUACUGUGAUAUUCAGUUAUGCAAUACAGAGAUACAGUGUUACUAAGAAUAGGACCAGUAGCACAAGGCUGAGUCAUCCACAGCUACUCAGCCACGGAAUGGUAUCUCACAACAUGGAGCCCUUGCAAGCAAGAUUAUGUGGUAAGGGGGUGAGAUAACCCUCAGAAGAUUACAUCUAAAUUGCCUCAUAGUCACGCAGCAGCUGUCUGUAUAUACAGUGGAUCAUCGUAAUCUGAAAUACAGAUUAGGUGGCACAGUAACCCCCACUUUUAGUAGUUUGUUGUAAUCAUCCUGGUGAAUAUAAUGAAAAUGAUGUAAAGUGGAAGGCCACUUCAGCUAUGGAAACCCCGUGGAGAUCUUCUUAAUAUAUGCAAGCAUCAUGAAAUAUGCAUCUGCUUUCUUGUAUACGAUGACAAUUGUCUGUCUGUGUAUGUAGAACUUCCCUCCUGUGGUUGUCAAGGACACCAGAGGGGUGGCUGAGUGAUGGAGUGCCACUCAGAGCCGUGCAGGCCCUGAAAGCAACCUCAAACUGAUGAAGAUGGAGGAGGGAAACCGAUACCAAACAAUCAGCCAUCUUGGUUUUCUUAACAUUUACAUCUACAUUUACAUUUAGUCAUUUAGCAGACGCUUUUGUCCAAAGCGACGUACAAGUUAACCUACACAAGCUGUUUGGGUAGUGAAUGUGAAUACAGUCACAGGUGUUCACUUCUACAUAGCUGUGUUUUGACAGUUUUUUGUUUAUUCUGAUGUGCUUUUUCAAUGACAUUUGAAAACCUAGUUUUUGUUUUAGUGUCAGUACUUUUCAAUGUCAACUUACUGUCUCAGUUUUUGCAUGGAAGGGGUGGGGUUUGAUUGGAGAGGCAAGAAAUACAUGUUUUGCAA